AUUUUAAGACUCAAUCUCAUGAACUUCAUAGGAUCUCUCUCUGUCUAUUAGAAUCGACAGAUCCCAUCUUGAUGUACACCCUACUCCUAUAAUAGAUUUACUAUAGCCAACAUAUACUGUAAGAUUCUGAAUAGCUAAAUAAUCAAGUGAUUGUGUAGUCAAACUACAAUAACUUCACUGUGAACAGUCGAGGCACCGC
Molecule: long non-coding RNA, 199 nt
Filed under: Elaeis guineensis (African oil palm)
Lineage: Eukaryota; Viridiplantae; Streptophyta; Magnoliopsida; Arecales; Arecaceae
Description: long non-coding RNA (EGUI_LNC018585)
Source: RNAcentral